GAACGCGAAGAACCUUACCCGGGAUUGAAAUGUAGAUGACCGCUCCUGAAAGGGAGUUUUCCUUCGGGACAUCUAUGUAGGUGCUGCAUGGUUGUCGUCAGCUCGUGCCGUGAGGUGUCGGCUUAAGUGCCAUAACGAGCGCAACCCCUGUCUACGGUUGCCAUCAGGUGAUGCUGGGAACUCCGUAGAGACUGCCGUCGUAAGGCGAGAGGAAGGUGGGGAUGACGUCAAAUCAGCACGGCCCUUACAUCCGGGGCGACACACGUGUUACAAUGGUAAGGACAAAGGGCAGCUACCUGGCGACAGGAUGCGAAUCUCUAAACCUUAUCACAGUUCGGAUCGGAGUCUGCAACUCGACUCCGUGAAGCUGGAUUCGCUAGUAAUCGCGCAUCAGCCAUGGCGCGGUGAAUACGUUCCCGGGUCUUGUACACACC
This 434-nucleotide ribosomal RNA is filed under the name uncultured bacterium. RNAcentral's name for it is "bacterial SSU rRNA". It matches the Rfam family "Bacterial small subunit ribosomal RNA", at positions 957 to 1391 of the family's 1533-position model. The record is from RNAcentral.